Molecule: long non-coding RNA, 2998 nt
Organism: Nerophis ophidion (straightnose pipefish)
Lineage: Eukaryota; Metazoa; Chordata; Actinopteri; Syngnathiformes; Syngnathidae
Exons: 2
Source: RefSeq, a predicted model, not a curated record
CCUGUAUGCCUGUUGACCAAGUAUGCAUGGCAUUCAUUUCUGUGUGUGAAAAGCCGUAUAUAUUAUGUGACUGGGCCGGCACGCAAAGGAAGUGCCUUUAAGAUUUAUUGUACUUCUCCCUACGUCCGUGUACACAGCGGCGUUUUAAAAAGUCAUACAUUUUACUUUUUGAAACCGAUACCGAUAAUUUCCGAUAUUAUGUUUUAAAGCAUUUAUCGGCCGCUAAUAUCGGCAGUCCCAUAUUAUCGGACAUCCCUAGUGCUAUUUUACAGUACGUGGGUUGCCGACUCAACUGGCGUAUCGCUCUUCAGGACUUGGCGAUACGGUCUCAGCCAUUUUACCUUUUAUAUAAUGUUGCAAUUUUCAAUAACAACAAAGUAAUUGAAUAUAAAAACACUCCAAGAUAAAGGAAAUAGUGCCCCCCAGUGUACGGGAGGCACAUGGCGUAUGACCAAUGCAUGGACUCUGGGACUACACAUGUAAGUGUGAAAAUCCAAAAAAACUAACUAUUAGAGAAAUCAGACUAAUUAAGUGCAUGGAAGCGUAGUGAGUGUGUGUAGUCUGUUUGUACACAAUCGACAACAUGGCGGACGCACAGACUCACAACCCGUCCGGUACACGUUAAUGUGAAAUAAAAAAUGACUAUCCUCAAGAUUCAUUCAUUAAAAAUAUUUACAGCUCCCUGUUGGUAUUCAGGAGUCCUAUUCAUGCUCUUCUUUUGUGCAUAACCACCACCGGUUUCCAUACGAGGAACGUCCUUGGCACCACCGAAACACCCGAGGCGGGUUCUUACACGGCGCGGGGGCCAAUGAGGAGUCGGGCGGAUAAUGACAUCAUUUAACAGAGAGUCUAUAGGACCGGCCCCUCGAGGCGAUUGGUCGCAUGAAGAGCGCUCUCGCGGUUACGAUGAUUAAGGGGCAUAUGAAGGGCUAUCAAAGGAGAGCCCCUUAAUGAAAGCGGCGCUCUGAGAGCGCGGGCCGAUUUCGGAGCUACCGAGAACGAACGGAAGGAGACCAGAUGUAGAGCAGGAGGGGAAGCGAGAAGAGUUAAAGCACGAGGCAGGAAGUCAGUGUCGAAGAGCAAAGUAGAAGGGGAGCAUGUGUCGGCCAACGCAAACAAAUACGGAGAAUUCAGUCGACCUGAAUGCCUUUUCAUGCAAGAAUGCAACGCAGCGACUGGAGCUUCCCCGGAGUCACCCUCUCAGGGAAAACUUCUGUCCUCAAAGUACCUUUUCCCUUUUGCCACUCUGUCCACAUUCAUGUGGGACUCUGUGUUUUCAUAUUGUGUGUGUGUGUGUCCACCUGGAAACAUUUGAAAAGUGAGGCCAGAUUUCCAUGCCAGUGAUGUAUAUCUCAAUAUUUUGGUUAGUCGACUCAUUUCCAGGCAUGUGGAAUGUCCACAAAAGCGCGAAUUUGUGCGUUUUUAACCAUACAUUUUUUGCGUCAAAAUAUUACUUUUGUGUUUUUUUUCGAAAUAUUGAAGCUUGUAAGGAUCGUAGUCGAUGGAGGAGAUUAAAUGACGUUCAGACUUUGUUUCCUUAUUAAAGUUAAAGUUAAAGUACCAAUGAUUGUCACACACACAAGGUGUGGCGAAAUUAUUCUCUGCAUUUGACCCAUAGCUCUUGAUCACCCCCUGGGAGGUGAGGGGAGCAUUGGGCAGCAGCGGUGCCGCGCCCGGGAAUCAUUUAUGGUGAUUUAACCCCCAAUUACAAUCCUUAAUGCUGAGUGCCAAGCAGGGAGGUAAUGGGUCCCAUUUUUAUAGUCUGUGGUAUGACUCGGCCGAGGUUUGAACUCACAACCUACCGAUCUCAGGGCGGACACUCUACCCACUAGGCCACUGAGUAUGUGGCCUAGUAGGUAGAGUCAAUCGAGCAGUAUCUAUUAGGGUUGUGAAUUUUUGGGCACCACAUGAUUCGAUUCUUGGGGUCAGGAUUUGAUUCAGAAUCAAUUCACACUCAUUUGUAUUUCUUAAACACGUGUUUGCUCCAAGUGUUUGGAAAAGAACCAACCCGGCAAGUCUAAAAGAGUGCAAAUGUGCGCAAAACCUAAAAGAGUUAAGCUUUUACCAAGGGCAACAAUCUUACAGUAUAUGAAUCUUUCAGCACAUAACUGGAAAUCUCAUGUAAAAAAUAUACAACAUAAAGUAGCAAGAAAUACGUCAAUAAUGAAUAAAGCCAAAUAUGUUCUAGACCAAAAAUCACUUUAUAUUCUCUACUGCGCACUAGUGUUACCAUAUCUUAGUUACUGUGUAGAAAUAUGAGGAAAUAAUUACAAAAGUACACUUCAUUCACUAACAGUGUUACAAAAAAUAUCAGUUAGAAUAAUACAUAAUGUUGGAUAUAGAGAACAUACAAACCCUUUAUUUAUUGAAUCAAAGAUACUGAAAUACCACGACAUAGUGGAAUUGCAAACAGCUAAAAUUAUACACAAAGCAAACUAUAACCUGCUUCCCAAGAAUAUACAACAAUUCUUCUCAACAAAAGAAGAGAAAUAAAAUCUUAGAGAAAACUGUAAUUUAAAACAUUUGUACGCACGUACAACACUUAAGACCUUCAGUGUAUCAGUAUGUGGAAUUAAAUUAUGGAAUGGAUUAAGCAAAGCAAUCAAACAAUGUACUAAUAUCAUCCACUUCAAGAAACUCUUCUAACUGGAAGUGUUUACAAAGCACAAAAAAGAAGAACCAAGAUAAACAUUCUGAUUUUAUUCACCCAUUCAUUCUCAAAAUAAUCUUACUUAUCUCAUCGUAUGGAAUAAAACUUACUUCACCAAUUAUUUAUUUAUUUUUUAUUGUUAUUACUUAUGGAGUAUACAUUGUGAAUACAUUGAGAACAGGAAGUGAACAAAAGUUUUAGCAACUGUUAUGUAAUGAAAAGGGGUAGGAUUAAAUAAGCUCUGCUUCUUCCUACUCCUUUUCGAACAUGUUGAAAAGAGGAACUGGAAAUUAUGAUGUAUCAUGUUGUAUGCUUGCAUGUUCGAAAUAAACUCAAACUCAUACACAA